CCUACGGGGUGCAGCAGUAGGGAAUAUUGCUCAAUGGGGGAAACCCUGAAGCAGCAACGCCGCGUGGAGGAUGAAGGUUUUCGGAUUGUAAACUCCUUUUGUUAGAGAAGAUAAUGGCGGUAUCUAAAGAAUAUGCACCGGCUACCUCCGUGCAAGCAGCCGCGGUAAUACGGAGGGUGCAGCCGUAAUUCGGAAUCACUGGGCGUAAAGAGCGCGUAGGCGGGAUAGCAAGUCAGAUGUGAAAACCUAUGGCUUAACCAUAGAACUGCAGUUGAAACUGUUAUUCUAGAGUAUGGGAGAGGUAGGUGGAAUUCUUGGUGUAGGGGUAAAAUCCGUAGAGAUCAAGAGGAAUACUCAUUGCGAAGGCGACCUGCUAGAACAUAACUGACGCUGAUGCGCGAAAGCGUGGGGAUCAAACAGGAUUAGAUACCCCAGUAGUC
Molecule: ribosomal RNA, 440 nt
Filed under: uncultured bacterium
Lineage: Bacteria
Description: partial 16S ribosomal RNA
Rfam family: Bacterial small subunit ribosomal RNA
Source: RNAcentral